GGCCCGGUAGCUCAGUUGGUAGAGCAGCGGAUUGAAAAUCCGCGUGUCGGCAGUUCGAUUCUGUCCCAGGCCACCA
This 76-nucleotide transfer RNA is filed under the name Pseudomonadota bacterium. RNAcentral's name for it is "tRNA-Phe". It matches the Rfam family "tRNA". Rfam says of the family: Transfer RNA (tRNA) molecules are approximately 80 nucleotides in length. Their secondary structure includes four short double-helical elements and three loops (D, anti-codon, and T loops). Lineage: Bacteria; Pseudomonadati; Pseudomonadota. The record is from RNAcentral.